This is a non-coding RNA of Pteropus alecto (black flying fox), 119 nucleotides long. The record is from Rfam. NCBI's taxonomy places the organism in Eukaryota, Metazoa, Chordata, Mammalia, Chiroptera, Pteropodidae.
GUCUACAGCCAUGCCACCCUGAACGUGCCUGAUCUUGUCUGAUCUCGGAAGCUAAGCAGGGUCGGCCCUGGUUAGUACUUGGAUGGGAGACCACCUAGGAAUACUAGAUGCUAUAGGCG